Molecule: long non-coding RNA, 1557 nt
Filed under: Homo sapiens (human)
Lineage: Eukaryota; Metazoa; Chordata; Mammalia; Primates; Hominidae
Description: non-protein coding lnc-MBOAT2-2:1
Source: RNAcentral
GCUGAAGCAAAAGAUUUGCAUUUAAGGAGAGAAAUACACCCUGAAAUUUGAGUUUGAAAGAUUAGAACAUAGAGGGUCUCUACAGUGUUUUUCUGCAACACCAAGUAGUCAAAUCUAUUUAUAGAAACUCUGAUUACAACAGAAAUUUUAAAAUGAAAUUUUCCACAUCGGUAUUUUGUAGGAAAGCUCUUAUAAUCAAUGCUUAAGCUGCUUUUUGAGGCUUUUCUUGUACAGAGGUUGCAGCCAAUUACAUUUUAAUUGGUAGGCUGCUGAAUAAUGUUUUUGUAUGUUUUAAAAUAAUAUUUAUUUUAAUAGGUUUUUUAACAUUAUGCAAAUCCCAAUAAAGAACUGACACGUUCCAUAGGCCAUUGACUGGGAAAUUUUGUGAAACACAGCCUAAAUACACAGUUUUUACACCAACUAAUUUGUCUUGCCUUUAAAACUGAUUAUAACUCUUCUUUAAGUACAACUUUUAUAAAGAAAAAAUACAACACUAAGACUGUAUGUUCUGUAAAUUAUAGUGUGAUGACCCAUGCAGAACCGCUGUCUGAAGCUUACUCAGCGAUUCAUAGCCAUCUCCAGCCAUGUUUUAUCAAAUCACACACUAAAAAUAAAUGGAAAUGCUACAGUGAAAAACCAAAAGUUACAGAGCAACAUAAGUAAAAUGACUAGGCAGUUUCUUAGUAACAUGUUUGAAAUGGGAAAGGUGACUGACUGCCUUUCACCAGAGUCUUAGCUGUUUCACGUUCACUAUUUUAGGUUAAUUUUCUUGGGAAAUCAAUUUGAAUAUUCCCCCCUGUCCUUUUGCAUUAAAGGACGAAAAUAUAUGUUGAGAGUUUGACAGACUUUUUAAAUAUGCCUCUUUCCCAAUUUUAUGUAUUUUUGGUUCUGCGCACACAGAUUUAUCAAUGAAGUACAUUUGCCUCUGGCUUUAUCACAAGGAAAAAGGAAUCAAACAUUGAACACAAAUGUGUUCCAAACCAGUCUUGUCCAUCUUGUCACUUUUAUGUGACUGCUCCUCUGAACCAGAAGGGGCACGAUAGAAGGCCAUAGGAAUGAAAGUAAAUCAUUCAGGUGAAGUGAGAAAUUCUUCCAUAUACAGAGUGAAAAUGUGUGAUUUCAUUCCUGCCUUCCUUUAAACGUUGUCUUGAUCUCUGCCUAGUAGUAGUUGAGCCCUCAGUCGCCCAAACAUGAGGAGAGACCCAACUCCAGCAGCCAGAAUUUAGUAUUUACAUUUGCCUUCCCAAGUUGAGAAUAGAAUGUGGUGUUCUGUGCUUUCUGUUUUUAUUAUUCCAAAAUAUUUUUUUAAAGAAGUGUUAUUUUUCAACAGAUUCAUAAAUUAGUUCCUGAUGUACGGUAAAUUAAAACUCCCACUGUGUCAGUCAAACUGAGAUGUGCUCAUUUCAUAACCACUCAUUUCUAGUCUGUCAGAGCUGCACUGGUGGCUUAUUGCUGGUUUUUAAAGGUGUUUUUAACUUACAUGUAACAUGUUUAGGACAUGUUUUUUUUUUCUAAUUUGUGUGUCUUUACAACUGAUUAAACAGUAGUUUAAAAAUA